CCGAGUUAGCAAACUCCCAGACCCAUGUGAACAGUACCUGAACUGUUGCUUCGAGCGGGAGUGCUCCUCAGGAGCGGCCUCGUGCCCGGAGGCAUCCCCUAGGAACUACUCUUGUUUUAUUUUGGAAUCUUCUGAGUAGCUUUUACUAAAUAAGUA
This 156-nucleotide unclassified non-coding RNA is filed under the name soil metagenome. RNAcentral describes it as "partial internal transcribed spacer 1". The record is from RNAcentral.